AAAAUGGAGAGUUUGAUCCUGGCUCAGGAUGAACGCUGGCGGCGUGCCUAACACAUGCAAGUCGAACGAAGCCUUUUAGGCUUAGCCUAGAAGGCUUAGUGGCGGACGGGUGAGUAACGCGUGAGAAUCUCCCUUCAGGAUGGGGACAACCGUUGGAAACGACGGCUAAUCCCCAAUGUGCCGAGAGGUGAAAAGGGUUUCCGCCUGAAGAAGAGCUCGCGUCCGAUUAGUUAGUUGGUGAGGUAAGAGCUCACCAAGGCAGCGAUCGGUAGCUGGUCUGAGAGGAUGAGCAGCCACACUGGGACUGAGACACGGCCCAGACUCCUACGGGAGGCAGCAGUGGGGAAUUUUCCGCAAUGGGCGAAAGCCUGACGGAGCAACGCCGCGUGUGGGAAGAAGGCUCUUGGGCUGUCAACCACUUUUCUCAGGGAAGAAGACCUGACGGUACCUGAGGAAUCAGCCUCGGCUAACUCCGUGCCAGCAGCCGCGGUAAUACGGAGGAGGCAAGCGUUAUCCGGAAUUAUUGGGCGUAAAGCGUCCGCAGGGGGCGCAUCAAGUCUGCUGUUAAAGGUCGGAGCUUAACUCCGGUAGAGCAGUGGAAACUGGUGCGCUAGAGGGCGACAGGGGUAGAGGGAAUUCCCAGUGUAGCGGUGAAAUGCGUAGAGAUUGGGAAGAACACCGGUGGCGAAAGCGCUCUACUGGGUCGCACCUGACCCUCAGGGACGAAAGCUAAGGUAGCGAAAGGGAUUAGAUACCCCUGUAGUCUUAGCCGUAAACGAUGGAUACUAGGCGUGGCUUGUAUCGACCCAAGCCGUGCCGAAGCUAACGCGUUAAGUAUCCCGCCUGGGGAGUACGCACGCAAGUGUGAAACUCAAAGGAAUUGACGGGGGCCCGCACAAGCGGUGGAGGAUGUGGUUUAAUUCGAUGCAACGCGAAGAACCUUACCAGGGCUUGACAUGCCGCGAAUCUUCCUGAAAGGGAAGAGUGCCUUCGGGAGCGCGGACACAGGUGGUGCAUGGCUGUCGUCAGCUCGUGUCGUGAGAUGUUGGGUUAAGUCCCGCAACGAGCGCAACCCUCGUCCUUAGUUGCCAGCAUUAAGUUGGGCACUCUAGGGAGACUGCCGGUGACAAACCGGAGGAAGGUGAGGAUGACGUCAAGUCAGCAUGCCCCUUAUGCUCUGGGCAACACACGUCCUACAAUGGUCGGGACAAAGGGGAGCAAGCUCGCGAGAGUAAGCGAAUCCCAUCAAACUCGGCCUCAGUUCAGAUUGCAGGCUGCAACUCGCCUGCAUGAAGGAGGAAUCGCUAGUAAUCGCAGGUCAGCAUACUGCGGUGAAUUCGUUCCCGGGCCUUGUACACACCGCCCGUCACACCAUGGAAGCUGGCCAAGCCCGAAGUCGUUACCCUAACCGUAUGGAGGGGGGCGCCGAAGGCUGGGCUGGUGACUGGGGUGAAGUCGUAACAAGGUAGCCGUACCGGAAGGUGUGGCUGGAUCACCUCCUUA
Molecule: ribosomal RNA, 1503 nt
Filed under: Euhalothece natronophila Z-M001
Lineage: Bacteria; Bacillati; Cyanobacteriota; Cyanophyceae; Chroococcales; Halothecacae
Description: Bacterial small subunit ribosomal RNA
Rfam family: Bacterial small subunit ribosomal RNA
Source: Rfam by way of RNAcentral